GGACUCCUUGCGUAGGCAAAGGUACCUUUACUUGCCCCUACAUUUCACUGUGGGUUUGGCUGCAUCUAGACUGCCACAUCAAAGGCGUUUCCCCCCAGGACUUUGAGGUACUGUUCCAACGCCUUCCAGCACUCAGUGUGUCUGCAGAGAAGUCUGAGAAACUCCAUGGAUGGAAAUCUGGAGACACCUGUUGGGGGAGAAACUACACAUUCUGGAAGACCAGUGGUAUGGGUGUUCGAGCCUUUCAGUCAAUCGCAUCACCAUGCCAUGGAAGCGGUUUACUCUAAUUCUUCAUGAUGGGUUAGAAUGGCCGCAGCAUCUGCCCCUGAGCCCGCAACCACCAAAAGGAGACUACACAAGGGAAGCUGUAGCCGUUCCUGGCUCUGCCUCGAAGGGACUGGCAACAUCGCCUUCCACGCUCUGAGAGCACUUGUUGUCAGGACGCCUAACUGCCUCGCGAGCCUGGCUGUCCUUCUGGAGAGACGGGGGGCGAUGCCACGUGCACGUCCACAGCUGCAGGAGCAUUUUGGCAGAACCUCCGGGUGGCUUCCGCCCCAGCUGCCAAUCAGCUGCAACUCCACGGGCCCCCGAGCCCCGGGGUGAGUCCAGCAGAGCUGCCCAGCUGAGCCCUUUCAACCCGCAGAACCACGAGGGAGGUUGGAAUCGUUGUUCUAAAUAGGGGGGGAACUUGGAGGAGGCCAGAGGGCACCUAGGACACAGGAUGUAAGGAGGCACUCUGCUCUCAGGGACCCAGAUUGUCCUUGCUUGACCUUGACAGUGAACAUCUCCUUAGACCUUGUGCCCUGGGGGCCUCGCUUCCGUCUGCCCAGACCUGGAUUCUCAGCCACGAGGUCUGGGCGGUUUUACCCAGCUCUAGAGACCCGAAGCGUUCGUGGGGCUUGGAGCAGAGCAGGUGCACUGGACUGAACCAGUUAAGGUUCCAUCCCAACUUCCCAGCAAGGGGUUUCCGUAGGAACCCUGGGUGCUCUGGGUCUGACCCUGACCGUUUGUAUCGCACUUUCUUCAACACAGCAUUCCUGGGGUUCUAAACUCUCACUGUCUCCGCU
Mustela lutreola (European mink) is the source of this 1067-nucleotide long non-coding RNA. RefSeq lists it as uncharacterized. NCBI's taxonomy places the organism in Eukaryota, Metazoa, Chordata, Mammalia, Carnivora, Mustelidae. The record is from RefSeq and is a predicted model, not a curated record. The transcript has 3 exons.